Molecule: long non-coding RNA, 409 nt
Organism: Drosophila guanche
Lineage: Eukaryota; Metazoa; Arthropoda; Insecta; Diptera; Drosophilidae
Exons: 2
Source: RefSeq, a predicted model, not a curated record
GAACCCUUCGCGUGAAAAUUGAUUUUACUUCUACAAAUUUUACUUCUUUUCUAUGCUUUUUAUCAAGUGACAUGUGGAACAAAAGAGGAAAUAAAGAAGCGACUGCUGAAGGCCCUCUCGAAGGCGGGUUAUACCUUAAAAGUCAUAGGUACCACGGGCGAGGUCCUUGGCGAUGCCAUUAUGCAUGGAUAUCGUUCGCUCUCUGUUUAAAAAAGGGGAAUUGGAGAUUGAAAUGGAGGCUCAAUGGAGGGCGAAAUUGGACGCUGACUUGAAGACUAAAUUGAAGGCUCAAUUGGAAAAGAAGAAACCAGUGUGUGAACCAGCGAAUUUCAAAUGUAAAAUUCUGAACAUUUUUGGUAUGGAUUUAAAUGUUACAAAAGAAGAAUCGGGGGAUAAAAAAGCUACAGUU